This 301-nucleotide ribosomal RNA is filed under the name uncultured bacterium. Its description in RNAcentral is "partial 16S ribosomal RNA". It matches the Rfam family "Bacterial small subunit ribosomal RNA", at positions 509 to 807 of the family's 1533-position model. The record is from RNAcentral.
CAGUCGCCGCGGGAAUACGUAGGGUGCAAGCGUUAAUCGGAAUUACUGGGCGUAAAGCGUGCGCAGGCGGUUUGUUAAGACAGAUGUGAAAUCCCCGGGCUCAACCUGGGAACUGCAUUUGUGACUGGCAGGCUAGAGUAUGGCAGAGGGUGGUGGAAUUCCGCGUGUAGCAGUGAAAUGCAUAGAUAUGCGGAGGAACACCGAUGGCGAAGGCAGCCCCCUGGGCCAAUACUGACGCUCAUGCACGAAAGCGUGGGGAGCAAACAGGAUUAGAUACCCGGGUAGUCCCUGUCUCUUAUAC